Molecule: long non-coding RNA, 631 nt
Organism: Pseudopipra pipra
Lineage: Eukaryota; Metazoa; Chordata; Aves; Passeriformes; Pipridae
Exons: 3
Source: RefSeq, a predicted model, not a curated record
UAAACAGUCAGGCAAGACCCAACCAGUAGCUCCAUGCCCUCAGGUGCCAGGUGGGCAGCAGGGGCAAUCUCCCUGAGCUACCUGCAGGCAACCAUGCCAUCCAUACUGCCAAGGAGAAAACCACCUCAGCUGGGAGAACACAGUCUGUCCUGCUCCAAUGGCUUGCAGGAUGCAGGUGGCAGGCAAUGGGCAAGCACUAAUCCUCCAGGACAUGUAUACCCAGAAGCAAGGGGAAGAGGCUCUUCUAUGACACACUAAUUCUAUACUUCCCCUACAGAAACAACCCACGGUCGACCUUUUGGUCACUAGACGUUCAUCUUUAUUCACCAACAUUUAAAGGUCCCCAAAUCCCUCUCAGGAGGUCCAUGGCAUCAUGAGAACCAGCCUGUCCUGCACGACCGCCCUGAACCAGGGCCUGCCGAUAUCUUCCAGCUACAUCUGCUGCAACUGCUCUUCUCCAGCUGAGACAGCCGCGGCCUUACCCUGCCAGGCUUUGCAGGAACCAGCUUGGCAAGCAGCAGCCUCUAAGGACACCGGCAGAAAAUGGAGGCAGGAGAUAUAAAUCCAGGACAAGGAAAUAAAGCGACGAUGCCGUCACUUGUGCCGGCGUUCAGCUUGAUGGGAGCACAAA